UGAGCCUUCACAUUAGCCCGAGGAACC
RNAcentral lists this non-coding RNA (27 nucleotides) under Mus musculus (house mouse). The record is from RNAcentral. Lineage: Eukaryota; Metazoa; Chordata; Mammalia; Rodentia; Muridae.